ACCACCACCCCCCCCUGCCACCACAUGAGGCUCCGCCUCCUCGCUUCAGAGACAAACAGCGAGCGCCGCAACACCGCGCCUUCACCUCUAGCCCGCACGACUACGACAUGCGUGUGGACGACUUCCUGCGGCGGACGCAGGCGGUGGUGAGCAGCCGGCGUGAGCGCGAGCGGCAGCGUGAACGUGACCGUGGUGGACCCCGCCGGGAGAGAGAGAGAGAGGGACAAGGAGAGGGGGCGGUACCGCAGGUGAACUGAUGAUGUCAUAUCCUGUCAGCCUGCAGGGGCUUUUAUUUUGAUGGUCAGCAGCUGUGUUGCUGUUUCCUGUUUUUUGUUGAGCUACGUGAUGACAUCAUCAGUUUUUAUGUGAAUAAAAUAUUUAAAAACUGUUAAAAAAAAAAAAAAACCUGGUGAUUUCUGGUGAGUUUAAUCAAAACUUUUAUUUUGAUGAUCCUGUGUAAAAAGGGAAGUGACAUCACAGCACAGGGACCUGUCACACGUUAACAACAAAACAUUUUAUUUUUCUCUCAUCAUUGCCUCUUUUAUUGUGAAAGGAUGGACAGUUCUUCCUGUGUACUCCUUUAACUCAAUUUAAAACCCAUGAAGAAGAGUUUCACCUCCUUUUUGUACGUUUUUUAACUUUAGUUUUGUUGUUAAAUUUAAACUCGUCCAGCUUCAGUUCGUUUAUUUAUUUUAAUUUUAUAUUUGACUUUUUUCUGCUGGUGACGAUAAAAAAUCUGCUUCCUGUAAAACGUCAGACUUUUUUUUUUUUUUCCCCUUUAUGCUCAAUCACUUCUGAUUGGACCAUGGUGACCAAACGUCCAGAUGAUCAGAUUUAUUGUGUAUUGAUCGGCAGCAGGUCAAACUGAUCAGUGGAGUCUCAGUGUUAAAAAGGUGAAAACUUUACUUCCUGUUUCUGAAUGGAGGGGGCGGAGCUUGUGUCUGUUUUUGUACAAAAUAAAAGAAAUAAAAUCUGAAA
Long non-coding RNA from Morone saxatilis (striped sea-bass), 978 nucleotides. RefSeq lists it as uncharacterized. The record is from RefSeq and is a predicted model, not a curated record. The transcript has 2 exons. NCBI's taxonomy places the organism in Eukaryota, Metazoa, Chordata, Actinopteri, Moronidae.